GUCAUAGGCUCCGCCCAACAGGAAGUUGGAUAUUUAGGGUUUAGUAUUCAUAUUUUUCGUCAAAGUUGUGGGGGCUUUUGGGGUCCUUAACAUACUUAAAAACUCUUGAAAAUUUGCGCACACUUUGGAAUCUGUGGCCUUUAGGAGCCUGCAGAGGCUGGGACCCGGGCGUGGCACAGGGGCUCUAUGGCGCCCCCUGGAACACAGUCAUAAAUGUUGAUGUAUAGCUCACACAUACUUGCUCGUAUUAAUAUGAAACUCAGUACACAUAUAGAUCUCAUCGUGCUGAACAACUUUCGUACUGCAUGUCAUUCGGCUCCGCCCAACAGGAAGUCAGCUAUUUAGAGUUAUGUAAAAAGCGCAUGCUCUGGAAUUUGAAAUACUUGUCAUAGGUUUUUUUGCCGAUUGCCACCAAAUUCGGUCAACAUGAUCUCAAGACAUUGGGGAUGAAAAAUUGCCAGGGGAUUUUUGAUAUCUCGAACGGUUUGCUCGUGGCGAGGUGUUGAAAUUAUGGCGAGAAAUGAGAAACAGGAAGUGUCUAAUACCAUCCACAUACAUUUCCUGAUUUUAAUCAAACUUCAUCAGAUUAUUCUUUGUAUGAUGUCGAUCGCAUAUAUGUGACUAUUAGGAGUCAAAGUUAUAGCGCCACCAACUGGCAGCAGGAAGUGUGUCAUUUUCAAAAUGCUUUGAAUUCAGCAUCUUAUUAUUACUCAAUUUGCUUCAAACUUCAUCAGAAUAAUGUUAAAACACAGCCUAUAUAAAUCUGCUGGGGGGAUAUUGAUAUCUAAAAAUAUUGUUGCCGUGGCAACAUGUUAAACUGGAAUACUUCUCAGGUGAUUUUGAGGCAUAUAACAUGCUUAGAAUUUCAUCAAACUCAGAACACAUAUCAGUAUUUAUGAUAACUAGACACUGGCAAAAGUUCAUAAGAGGGCGUGGAAGAGGCACUCUAUAGCGCCACCUUUUGUCAAAAGUGGGGGGGUUAGUUUUAGCUACAGACACCAAACUCGGUACAAAAAUUGUUCUCAUCAAGACGGACAACUUUCUAAUUCACAGUCAUCAGCUACGAUCAACAGGAAGUCAGCUAUUUUGAUUUGAAUGUGGAUUUUUUUUUUACAUUUAGCUGUGAAUUAAUGCAUACUGCUCAGAGGAGAGUAACACUAUACACACCAAAUUUUGUCUACAUGAUGCCAAAACAUUUUAAACAACUUAAAUUGCCAAUAGAUUUUGGAUAGCUUGAACGGUUUUGUCUCUGUGAUUUUUUUUAAAUGACAUUAAAAAUGGAAUUAUUAAUUUUCCUGCAUUUUUUAAUUCCAAACACUUCAAAACCUUUUUUCAUACAGACAAAAAGUCAUUCUGAGUAAAUAUGGAUAGUUUCACGACUUUACAACACUGUAUGGGUAACAGAAAAUUAAAAAACUGUCAGACAUCUCAUCUCACUUCUGUCCCUCUGUUUGAGUGUAUGUGCUUAGACUUCCAUUGUCUGAGAGAAAUUGCGCCCCUACAGGUGCAAUUACCGGAGUUUUAGUUUCUCUUUUAAAUCGGUUAAAAUACAAAUAAAUACUUAGAUUUAAUUCACACUGACAAGCUAAACCAACAUAUAUGAUUAUUACCGGGUCAGGGCUCAUUAAUAAUUGAUGUGUGGUCAGUGAUACGUGAGAAACAGGAGAGAUUAAUCACCGCUCUGAGCAGGAGCGUGUGGAAUGACGAGCUCAGAAAAAACGAGUUUAUUCUUGUUUCAUAGCUAUUAAGAAUAAAGUAUUGCAGCGAUAUCACACAAUUCACAAAUUAGAACACACCAAGAGCUAAAUUAAGAUGUUUUUGAACUGUUUGUGUGAAAAUUAAAUAUUUGUGGCUGCCUAUCUGAAAUCACCGCUCCGAUCAGCGCGCACAGUGCCACAAGUUCAAAACUAACAAAUUUAUUCUUGUUUAAGAGCUUUUUAAAAUAAAAUAUUGCCAUAAAUGCACACAAUACACACAUUAUAACACAACAAGAGCUAAAUACAGGUGUUUGUGACCCGUUUAAGUGUGCAAGACUAUUUGAAAGCGCGACUGGCACAAUAACAUAUAUCUCUCGAGCUGCAGGAUUCUGCCUUUCGUCGUACGAACGAACACAUCACGGACAAGAUUAUUUCAAAAUACAUAAUAGCUUGGCGAAUAUAAACGAAAACAGCCACGUGAACAUAAACUGUUGAGAAAUAAAUCUGAAGUGGAUCUACUGGAUUUGAAUAUUAAGUGACCGCAUAUACCAGCUGCUUCUGUCUUCAAUUUUAAUCUAUAUAUAUAAAAAAGGAGACUCAUU
Molecule: long non-coding RNA, 2299 nt
Organism: Carassius gibelio (silver crucian carp)
Lineage: Eukaryota; Metazoa; Chordata; Actinopteri; Cypriniformes; Cyprinidae
Exons: 2
Source: RefSeq, a predicted model, not a curated record